Molecule: transfer RNA, 71 nt
Filed under: Synodontis schoutedeni (vermiculated synodontis)
Lineage: Eukaryota; Metazoa; Chordata; Actinopteri; Siluriformes; Mochokidae
Also listed under: 5 other names
Description: tRNA-Gln
Rfam family: tRNA
About the family: Transfer RNA (tRNA) molecules are approximately 80 nucleotides in length.
Source: RNAcentral
UAGGAAGUGGUGUAGUGGAAGCACUUGGAGUUUUGAUCUCCAGAAUAUGGGUUCGAGUCCCUUCUUUCUAA